This 782-nucleotide ribosomal RNA is filed under the name Salmonella enterica subsp. enterica serovar Mikawasima. RNAcentral's name for it is "partial 23S ribosomal RNA". It matches the Rfam family "Bacterial large subunit ribosomal RNA", at positions 582 to 1282 of the family's 2925-position model. Lineage: Bacteria; Pseudomonadati; Pseudomonadota; Gammaproteobacteria; Enterobacterales; Enterobacteriaceae. The record is from RNAcentral.
CCCUUUGGGGUGUGACUGCGUACCUUUUGUAUAAUGGGUCAGCGACUUAUAUUCUGUAGCAAGGUUAACCGUAUAGGGGAGCCGGAGGGAAACCGAGUCUUAACCGGGCGUUAAGUUGCAGGGUAUAGACCCGAAACCCGGUGAUCUAGCCAUGGGCAGGUUGAAGGUUGGGUAACACUAACUGGAGGACCGAACCGACUAAUGUUGAAAAAUUAGCGGAUGACCUGUGGCUGGGGGUGAAAGGCCAAUCAAACCGGGAGAUAGCUGGUUCUCCCCGAAAGCUAUUUAGGUAGCGCCUCGUGAAUUCAUCUCCGGGGGUAGAGCACUGUUUCGGCUAGGGGGCCAUCCCGGCUUACCAACCCGAUGCAAACUGCGAAUACCGGAGAAUGUUAUCACGGGAGACACACGGCGGGUGCUAACGUCCGUCGUGAAGAGGGAAACAACCCAGACCGCCAGCUAAGGUCCCAAAGUCAUGGUUAAGUGGGAAACGAUGUGGGAAGGCCCAGACAGCCAGGAUGUUGGCUUAGAAGCAGCCAUCAUUUAAAGAAAGCGUAAUAGCUCACUGGUCGAGUCGGCCUGCGCGGAAGAUGUAACGGGGCUAAACCAUGCACCGAAGCUGCGGCAGCGAACGUAUCACUUAAAGCGAUUCAGCGGGUUACGAUUGACGGAGCGAAGCGACGUCAAAGCGUAUACAAAGUCGAGUCGGUUUAAGGAUACGUUCGUUGGGUAGGGGAGCGUUCUGUAAGCCUGUGAAGGUGGCCUGUGAGGGUUGCUGGAGGUAU